ACACACGUCGAAUGUCAACGUCGCAAUGCUUGUAAUUGAGCAACACCAAUGGUUAUAUGAAAGCUCAUGUCCCAUUCGAGAUAUGUGUCUUCUAGUCUGCGAACGCGUUUCCAUGUUACAGUGCGCCUCUUUAAUUCUUCAGAGCUUUUCAACUGAGGAGAGCACGGUCACACAGAGUUGUCCAUACUGACUCAACGUAUGAACCAUGACCCCGCUUGGCCGCUUCUACCACUGACCAGCUGCUUUUGGAGCAGCUCUCCAUUAGUCGUGCUUCCGUUUCUUUCAGGCCUGAGUUGUUUGAUGUGACUGCUGACUCGUCCAGGAAACCAGGGACCUAUAGCAAACACUUCCCGAACUCGGUCCUGGGGACCCCAAGGUGUGGACAUUUUUUGGAGGGGUUUAAUCUCUAGCAUGACUACACAGCUGAUUCAAUUAAUCAAUUCGUAAUGAAGCUUUGAUUAUUUGAAUAAACUGUGUAAUGUACCACGUUCGAAGUCGCUCAGGUCACUGGUUUUGCCCAUUCUAAUGUUCAAUCAGUAACUGAAUGCCUUGAUGCCUGUCUGCCUGGUUUAUAUAGCAAGCCAAGGCCACAUGACUCACUGUCUGUAGGAGCGAUACAUUUUCAUGAAAGGUUGGUGUACCUAAUAAACUGUCUGGUGAAUGUAUAUCACCGGCAGUAGCCUACAGUUACCGUUAAUUCCCAUAAUUUACAGUUGAAAGUCGGAAGUUUACAUACACCUGAGCCAAAUACAUUUAAACUCAGUUUUUCACAAUUCCUGACAUUUAAUCCUUGUAAAAAUUCCCUGUUUUUAGGUCAGUUAGGAUCACCACUUUAUUUUAAGAAUGUGAAAUGUCAGAAUAAUAGUAGAGAGAAUGAUUUAUUUCAGCUUUUAUUUCUUUCAUCACAUUCCCAGUGGGUCAGAAGUUUACAUACAUUCAAUCAGUAUUUGGUAACAUUGCCUUCAAAAUGAUUAACUUGGGUCAAACAUUUUGGGUAGCCUUCCACAAGCUUCCCACAAUAAGUUGGGUGAAUUUUGGCCCAUUCCUCCUGACAGAGCUGGUGUAACUGAGUCAGGUUUUUAGGCCUCCUUGCUCGCACACACUUUUUCAGUUCUACCCACAAUUUUUCUUAGGAUUGAGGUCAGGGCUUUGUGAUGGCCACUCUAAUACCUUGACUUUGUUGUCCUUUAGCCAUUUUGC
This 1200-nucleotide long non-coding RNA is filed under the name Oncorhynchus kisutch (coho salmon). RNAcentral describes it as "lncRNA (ENSOKIG00005043215.1)". Lineage: Eukaryota; Metazoa; Chordata; Actinopteri; Salmoniformes; Salmonidae. The record is from RNAcentral.